AACGUAGGAGGCAAGCGUUAUCCGGAUUCACUGGGCGUAAAGCGCGUGCAGGCGGUUCGGUAAGUUGGGCGUGAAAUCUCCUGGCUUAACUUGGAGAGGCCGUCCAAUACUACCGGGCUAGAGAACAGUAGAGGAAGAUGGAAUUCCCGGUGUAGUGGUGAAAUGCGUAGAUAUCGGGAGGAACACCAGUGGCGAAGGCGGUCUUCUGGACUGUUUCUGACGCUCAGACGCGAAAGCUAGGGUAGUAAAC
Molecule: ribosomal RNA, 250 nt
Filed under: uncultured bacterium
Lineage: Bacteria
Description: partial 16S ribosomal RNA
Rfam family: Bacterial small subunit ribosomal RNA
Source: RNAcentral